Long non-coding RNA from Mytilus californianus (California mussel), 1516 nucleotides. RefSeq lists it as uncharacterized. The transcript is spliced from 20 exons. The record is from RefSeq and is a predicted model, not a curated record. NCBI's taxonomy places the organism in Eukaryota, Metazoa, Mollusca, Bivalvia, Mytilida, Mytilidae.
ACAGCCUAAAUAUGUAAGACUCCUAUACCAUGAAAGAUGCUUCCAUUGCAGAUAGCACAUUAGGAUUAGUCACAUAUACAGCCUAAUUAUGUAAGACUCCUAUACCAUGAAAGAUGCUUCCAUUGCAGAUGCACAUUAGGAUAAGUCACAUAUUAUACAGCCUAAAUAUGUAACACUCCUAUACCAUGAAAGAUGCUUUCACACAUUAGGAUGUUGCACAUAUACAUCUAAAUAUGUUGCACUCCUAGACAGAGAAGAUGGAUUCAUGGCAGAUAGGAAGAGUCAACAUAUACAGCCCAGAUAUGUUCCACUCCCACACAAUGAAGAUGGUUUCAUGGUAGAUGGCACAUUAGGAUGUUUAACGUAUACAGCCUAAAUAUGUUACACUCCUAGACAAUGAAGAUGGUUUCAUGGUAGAUUGAUCACACAUCUGGAUACGUAGCAUAUACAGCCUAAAUAUGUUACACUCCUAGACAAUGAAGAUGCUUUCAUGGUAUAUAGCACACGAAGAUUUGUAUCAUAUACAGCCUAAAUAUGUUACACUCUUCGACAAUGAAGAUGGUUUCAUUGUAGAUAGCACAUUAGGAUUAGUCACAUAUACAGCCUAAAUAUGUAAGACUCCUAUACCAUGAAAGAUGCUUCCAUUGCAGAUAGCACAUUAGGAUUAGUCACAUAUACAGCCUAAAUAUGUAAGACUCCUAUACCAUGAAAGAUGCUUCCAUUGCAGAUGCACAUUAGGAUAAGUCACAUAUUAUACAGCCUAAAUAUGUAACACUCCUAUACCAUGAAAGAUGCUUUCACACAUUAGGAUGUUGCACAUAUACAUCUAAAUAUGUUGCACUCCUAGACAGAGAAGAUGGAUUCAUGGCAGAUAGGAAGAGUCAACAUAUACAGCCCAGAUAUGUUCCACUCCCACACAAUGAAGAUGGUUUCAUGGUAGAUGGCACAUUAGGAUGUUUAACGUAUACAGCCUAAAUAUGUUACACUCCUAGACAAUGAAGAUGGUUUCAUGGUAGAUUGAUCACACAUCUGGAUACGUAGCAUAUACAGCCUAAAUAUGUUACACUCCUAGACAAUGAAGAUGGUUUCAUGGUAGAUUGAUCACACAUCUGGAUACGUAGCAUAUACAGCCUAAAUAUGUUACACUCCUAGACAAUGAAGAUGGUUUCAUGGUAGAUUGAUCACACAUCUGGAUACGUAGCAUAUACAGCCUAAAUAUGUUACACUCCUAGACAAUGAAGAUGGUUUCAUGGUAGAUUGAUCACACAUCUGGAUACGUAGCAUAUACAGCCUAAAUAUGUUACACUCCUAGACAAUGAAGAUGCUUUCAUGGUAUAUAGCACACGAAGAUUUGUAUCAUAUACAGCCUAAAUAUGUUACACUCUUCGACAAUGAAGAUGGUUUCAUUGUAGAUAGCACAUUAGGAUUAGUCACAUAUACAGCCUAAAUAUGUAAGACUCCUAUACCAUGAAAGAUGCUUCCAUUGCAGAUAACACAUUAGGAUUAGUCACAUGUA